GAUGAACGCUGGCGGCGUGCCUAAUACAUGCAAGUCGAGCGAACAGACGAGGAGCUUGCUCCUCUGACGUUAGCGGCGGACGGGUGAGUAACACGUGGAUAACCUACCUAUAAGACUGGGAUAACUUCGGGAAACCGGAGCUAAUACCGGAUAAUAUAUUGAACCGCAUGGUUCAAUAGUGAAAGACGGUUUUGCUGUCACUUAUAGAUGGAUCCGCGCCGCAUUAGCUAGUUGGUAAGGUAACGGCUUACCAAGGCAACGAUGCGUAGCCGACCUGAGAGGGUGAUCGGCCAAACUGGAACUGAGACACGGUCCAGACUCCUACGGGAGGCAGCAGUAGGGAAUCUUCGCAAUGGGCGAAAGCCUGACGGAGCAACGCCGCGUGAGUGAUGAAGGUCUUCGGAUCGUAAAACUCUGUUAUUAGGGAAGAACAAAUGUGUAAGUAACUAUGCACGUCUUGACGGUACCUAAUCAGAAAGCCACGGCUAACUACGUG
Molecule: ribosomal RNA, 496 nt
Filed under: uncultured bacterium
Lineage: Bacteria
Description: partial 16S ribosomal RNA
Rfam family: Bacterial small subunit ribosomal RNA
Source: RNAcentral